Molecule: small RNA, 424 nt
Filed under: Arabidopsis thaliana (thale cress)
Lineage: Eukaryota; Viridiplantae; Streptophyta; Magnoliopsida; Brassicales; Brassicaceae
Description: ATSL261440
Source: RNAcentral
AUAAUCUUUUACUAAAAAUAGAUAUAUAUGCGUUUUGAGCGGGAGAUUCAUCUUGGCCCAUCAGCCAUAACUAUAGUGACAUCGUGGAUAAUGUAGACCCUGCCCCAUAAUAAGCAAGGAAGAAUGCAUAGGUCUAAUUUAUCCUAAAGUAACUUUUAAGCAAAUGUUAAGCAUUAUGAUGAAAACGACGUCCAAAUCCUAAAGUAACAUCAAGGAGUUUUUGACUAACAAUGUCCAAUUCAAUGUUGAUUUUCGCUAAUGAUGACAGUAUCAACUAUCCAUCGAUCUCAAAAGUCCAAAUAAUUAUUCAAUUAACGUUAGAUUUUUAACAUAAUUACAUAUCUAUUUUAUAUAUGUGAUUAAAAUGCACUAAAAAAACUACAUAGAAAAAGGCUUGUAACGUCCUCUAUUUUUUUCAUUAAAA